CCCUUAGAUGUUCUGGGCCGCACGCGUGCUACACUGAGUGGAUCAGCGGGUCAGGUUGCGCGAAAGUGUUUCCUAAUCUUGAAAUCCGCUCGUGAUGGGGAUUGACGGUUGCAAUUUUCCGUCAUGAACGAGGAAUACCUUGUAAGCGCGGGUCAUCAUCCCGCGCUGAAUACGUCCCUGCCCUUUGUACACACCGCCCGUCGCUCCUACCGAUUGAGUGGUCCGGUGAGGCUUUGGGAUCUGAGCGGAAAGAGCGUUUCGCUGUUUCUGCUCGGAAAACUCAGUCGAACCUUAUCAUUUAGAGGAAGGAGAAGUCGUAAUA
Molecule: ribosomal RNA, 322 nt
Filed under: uncultured eukaryote
Lineage: Eukaryota
Description: partial 18S ribosomal RNA
Rfam family: Eukaryotic small subunit ribosomal RNA
Source: RNAcentral